AGCUGGUUCUCAGGAGGUUCUGUGGUUCUUCCUCCUCGGUGGGACUGGCCCACUGACAUACAGACUGUCACACAGGUGAUUCAGGAAGAGACCCAGGAGGAUAUUGUCAAGCCCACCGCACCAGUACAAACUCCACUAUUCCAUGUAGCGGUAAAAAGCCUCACAAACCCUUAAGACAGUUGUUGCCAAAAACAGCAGAAAGAAAAUCUGCAUCUGAAAAAGACCUAAAGACUUGAACAAAAACAUUGUUUACAAUCACAGAGGGCCAAAGUGACUCUCUGACGUAAAGCCUGAAAAAACAGAUUCCUCACUCAUAUGCACUAAUCUGUCACUGUGCACUGGAAUAUUCCUACAAAACAUUGUUCAGUCACUGUUGCCCCCACCUUGACAAACUCCAACAGCCAACCACCCAUUCCACGUCCUCGUACAAAACUGCAUAGGUUUGACAAAGAAGAAGAGCUCAAAGUUCAGACUUGGGUCAAAUUUAUUGAAAACUGAAAAAAAAAUCAGUCAUCUUCACAACAAUUUUACUCUAAUAAGCAUUUUAAGGAACGCCUGGUGGUCUUUAGUGAAAAGGAAAAGUGUGAGGGAAGCAGUUAUACUGUUGACUAUU
This is a long non-coding RNA of Nematolebias whitei (Rio pearlfish), 613 nucleotides long. RefSeq lists it as uncharacterized. The record is from RefSeq and is a predicted model, not a curated record. NCBI's taxonomy places the organism in Eukaryota, Metazoa, Chordata, Actinopteri, Cyprinodontiformes, Rivulidae. The transcript is spliced from 3 exons.